Molecule: non-coding RNA, 513 nt
Organism: Melopsittacus undulatus (budgerigar)
Lineage: Eukaryota; Metazoa; Chordata; Aves; Psittaciformes; Psittaculidae
Source: the annotation of a RefSeq genome assembly
AUGAGGAUGUGGACAGCUUGGUGUGUGUCCUUGUGCUUCUUUGGAGCAAGAGCUGGAAUCACCCAAACCUCCAGUCUUGUGCUGAAAGAAGAUGACAAAGCUACUCUGACAUGUAGCCAAGAUGAUGAUCACAGUGCCAUGUACUGGUAUCUGCAGCAGCCAGGGAAGGGGCUGCAACUGAUCUAUUAUUCCUUAGGGGAAUAUCAGCAAUAUGAGGGUGACUUUCACACUGGAUACAAAGCUCAACGGCCAAACCGCUCUGACUUCUCCUUGGAUAUUUUAUCAGUGAAGAUGAACUAUUCUGCUGUCUAUUUCUGUGCCAGCAGUGUGAACACAGCACUUCAAAGUCACUUCCUUUCUUUACAUAAACGUCUCUUACCAGCACUUUCUGUCAGAAGGCAGCUGCUCUCAGCACAGGAAGAGGGUCUGCAGGCCAACAGCCUGGUCACAAACCAGAUGUUGCCAGGGCAUUGGAGCAAGAGAGGGAGCACAGGUCUUGGAAGUGCAGGUUAA